Non-coding RNA from Pelobates cultripes (western spadefoot toad), 284 nucleotides. NCBI's taxonomy places the organism in Eukaryota, Metazoa, Chordata, Amphibia, Anura, Pelobatidae. The record is from the annotation of a GenBank genome assembly.
UAUAGAUCUAGCUAAGUAAAAAAAUAAUGUAAGUGAAAGAAAAUCCUAUUUAAAAAAAUAAAUAAAAAUGUGUUCAGACCACAGUAUGCUAUGCAAGUGUAUAAGGGAUAAUUGUAGGGCAAAAUAUGUAUAUUUGUAGUCGGGGCAAUAUAGCCGUAUACAGAAAUCUAGCAUUUAAUAACCAUAACAUCAAUGAGUUGGAACCAGUCGGUUGUGGUGUGCCGGAACCGACAAAGCACCCUCUAAGUGGGCCUACCUUAGAGGGUGUUUAUAAAUAGAGGGAG